This 299-nucleotide unclassified non-coding RNA is filed under the name fungal sp. Its description in RNAcentral is "partial internal transcribed spacer region". The stretch from base 1 to 46 matches the Rfam family "Eukaryotic small subunit ribosomal RNA", at positions 1786 to 1831 of the family's 1831-position model. Lineage: Eukaryota; Fungi. The record is from RNAcentral.
AAGUCGUAACAAGGUUUCCGUAGGUGAACCUGCGGAAGGAUCAUUACCAAAUCCAAAAAUACCCAAACCCCAAUGUGAACUAUUGUAUAAGUCUGUCUUUGGGAGAAAGCUUGUCCAAUUUUUAUUAAAAAAAUAGAUUAGCUUUCUCCCAAAAGAGUCCGGCAUAAUCUGUAUGGAUGUGUCCAGGUUCUCUUUAAAAACACCCUUUAUUAAACCACUUGAUUUAUUUGUUGGAAUUUUUCUUUUUAUAAAUUUUUAAAUAAAAAGACAACUUUUAACGGCGGAUCUCUUGGCUCGUG